GUCUACAACCAUACCACCCUGAAUGCGCCCAAUCUCAUCUGAUCUCAGAAGCUAAGUAGGGUAGGACCUGGUUAGUCCUUGGAUGGGAGACCACCUAGGAAUACUACGUGCUGUAGGCU
This 119-nucleotide ribosomal RNA is filed under the name Piliocolobus tephrosceles (Ugandan red Colobus). Lineage: Eukaryota; Metazoa; Chordata; Mammalia; Primates; Cercopithecidae. The record is from RNAcentral.